This 447-nucleotide ribosomal RNA is filed under the name uncultured bacterium. Its description in RNAcentral is "partial 16S ribosomal RNA". It matches the Rfam family "Bacterial small subunit ribosomal RNA", at positions 328 to 792 of the family's 1533-position model. The record is from RNAcentral.
GGUCCAGACUCCUACGGGAGGCAGCAGUGGGGAAUAUUGCACAAUGGGGGAAACCCUGAUGCAGCGAUACCGCGUGAGCGAUGAAGUAUCUCGGUAUGUAAAGCUCUAUCAGCAGGGAAGAAAGUGACAGUACCUGACUAAGAAGCCCCGGCUAACUACGUGCCAGCAGCCGCGGUAAUACGUAGGGGGCAAGCGUUAUCCGGAUUCACUGGGCGUAAAGGGAGCGCAGGCGGCACGGCAAGUCUGGUGUGAAAACCCGGGGCUCAACCCCGGGACUGCAUUGGAAACUGCCGGGCUGGAGUGUCGGAGGGGUAAGCGGAAUUCCUAGUGUAGCGGUGAAAUGCGUAGAUAUUAGGAGGAACACCAGUGGCGAAGGCGGCCUGCUGGGCCUUUACUGACGCUGAGACUCGAAAGUGUGGGGAGCAAACAGGAUUAGAUACCCCAGUA